Molecule: ribosomal RNA, 229 nt
Filed under: uncultured bacterium
Lineage: Bacteria
Description: partial 16S ribosomal RNA
Rfam family: Bacterial small subunit ribosomal RNA
Source: RNAcentral
UACGUAGGGUGCAAGCGUUAAUCGGAAUUACUGGGCGUAAAGCGUGCGCAGGCGGUUAUGCAAGACAGAUGUGAAAUCCCCGGGCUCAACCUGGGAACUGCAUUUGUGACUGCAUAGCUAGAGUACGGUAGAGGGGGAUGGAAUUCCGCGUGUAGCAGUGAAAUGCGUAGAUAUGCGGAGGAACACCGAUGGCGAAGGCAAUCCCCUGGACCUGUACUGACGCUCAUGC